This 435-nucleotide ribosomal RNA is filed under the name uncultured eukaryote. RNAcentral describes it as "bacterial SSU rRNA". It matches the Rfam family "Bacterial small subunit ribosomal RNA", at positions 33 to 509 of the family's 1533-position model. The record is from RNAcentral.
ACGCUGGCGGUAUGCCUUAUACAUGCAAGUCGUACGGGAGUUUUUAACUCAAGUGGCGGACGGGUGAGUAACACGUAAGAAUUUGCCUUUAGGAGGGGGAUAACAACUGGAAACGGUUGCUAAUACCCCAUAUGCUUUCGAGUGAAAUGGAUUUCCGCCUAAAGAGAAGCUUGCGGCUGAUUAGCUUGUUGGUGAGGUAAUGGCUCACCAAGGCGACGAUCAGUAUCUGGUUUGAGAGGACGAUCAGACACACUGGAACUGAGACACGGUCCAGACUCCUACGGGAGGCAGCAGUAGGGAAUUUUCCGCAAUGGGCGAAAGCCUGACGGAGCAAUACCGCGUGAGGGAUGACUGCCUAUGGGUUGUAAACCUCUUUUUUCAGGGAGGAACACAAUGACGUGUACCUGAAGAAUAAGCACCGGCUAACUCCGUGCC